AGCGAACGCUGGCGGCAGGCUUAACACAUGCAAGUCGAGCGGGCGUAGCAAUACGUCAGCGGCAGACGGGUGAGUAACGCGUGGGAACGUACCUUUUGGUUCGGAACAACACAGGGAAACUUGUGCUAAUACCGGAUAAGCCCUUACGGGGAAAGAUUUAUCGCCGAAAGAUCGGCCCGCGUCUGAUUAGCUAGUUGGUAGGGUAAUGGCCUACCAAGGCGACGAUCAGUAGCUGGUCUGGGAGGAUGAUCAGCCACAUUGGGACUGAGACACGGCCCAAAGUCCUACGGGAGGCAGCAGUGGGGAAUAUUGGACAAUGGGGGCAACCCUGAUCCAGCCAUGCCGCGUGAGUGAUGAAGGCCCUAGGGUUGUAAAGCUCUUUUGUGCGGGAAGAUAAUGACGGUACCGCAAGAAUAAGCCCCGGCUAACUUCGUGCCAGCAGCCGCCGCGG
This 451-nucleotide ribosomal RNA is filed under the name uncultured bacterium. Its description in RNAcentral is "partial 16S ribosomal RNA". It matches the Rfam family "Bacterial small subunit ribosomal RNA", at positions 29 to 523 of the family's 1533-position model. The record is from RNAcentral.